UGUCAGCAGCCGCGGUAAUACGUAGGAUCCAAGCGUUGUCCGGAUUUAUUGGGUUUAAAGGGUGCGCAGGCGGCCUGAUAAGUCAGUGGUGAAAGCCCGUUGCUUAACAACGGAAUUGCCAUUGAUACUGUCGGGCUUGAGUACAGUUGAGGUUGGCGGAAUGUAUCAUGUAGCGGUGAAAUGCUUAGAUAUGAUACAGAACACCGAUUGCGAAGGCAGCUGACUAAGCUGUUACUGACGCUCAGGCACGAAAGCGUGGGGAUCAAACAGGAUUAGAUACCCUGGUAGUCCACGCUGUAAACGUUGAUAACUCGAUGUUGGCGAUAUAUGGUCAGCGUCCAAGCGAAAGCGUUAAGUUAUCCACCUGGGGAGUACGCCGGCAACGGUGAAACUCAAAUGAAUUGACGG
RNAcentral lists this ribosomal RNA (408 nucleotides) under uncultured Bacteroidota bacterium. Its description in RNAcentral is "bacterial SSU rRNA". It matches the Rfam family "Bacterial small subunit ribosomal RNA", at positions 506 to 916 of the family's 1533-position model. Lineage: Bacteria; Pseudomonadati; Bacteroidota. The record is from RNAcentral.